CUGUAAUGCUACAAGGCCCUCGCAAAACAGGCAUGGCGUGAAUAUUUACUGGGAGAAGGGGACUGUAAAGUAAUUACCCAGACAACUAGAACUAACGAGACUUCCACAUCGUACAGAUCGUUCCUAAUUUCUAAUUUAAAAUCGCUCCUAUCGACCGGUAAACGUUUUCCAAAGUUGCUGCAUUAUCACUAUAGUAUGGGUCAAACAGAUAACACGCACUCAUUUUCGUUUUAAUUUUAAAGAAGAAUAACCCACGAGUGUAUUAAAGCGAUAAAUUACUAUAAUUUAAUGUCAGAAAAUGUAUUCAAGUUUCCGGUGACGUAACAUCUGUCUGUCACUUGCCAUAUUUGUACGAUGUACUGGAAAUUACAAGUUGUUAUUUUGUGUAUAAAAUACAUUCGAUUAAUUAUCUUGAUUAGAAACGUGGAAAAAAUACAUCUGUUUAUGAAAGAACGUCGAAGUACUCAAAAAAAUUCCAGACCGAUGAACGUAUAAAGACUAAUUUUAGCAUCGGUAUCCUGUGAGGUCUGCAAACAUAUUGACAGGAAGAAAGUCGUUACAGUAAUUCAUUAUUUUAUUUUAGGUAAACAGUUUUGAUUUGCAUAAAGAAGGGGUAGGGUCCAUGAAUACUUUUGUAUACUUUAACUACGUUUAGUAUAUCGUAUUCUUAAUUACACACUAUUUUUUAAUUUUUUUUAACGGUAUAUUAGUUAAUAAAAAAAAUAAAUAAAUUUAAAUACCUGAAUGACGCGCCAAAUGUCACAUGACUGAGUGUGACGUAGAAAGUAACAUAAAUAACGUAAUUAAAACAUAACCUUCAAAGCUAUCAUCUUCGCGACGAGAUUUUAAUGAGGUUCAUGAAAACAAAUGUGAUAAUGACUAUAAGAGAUUCUAAUUAGUAGUGCUUACGUAUCUGCUUUUACUCCUCGUAUUUCAGCCGAAGUAAAUAAUUGAUUAUUAGUAAAGAACGUAGCAACCAUGAAUGUAUCUACUUUAGGUAGAUUGCUGCUUCGAUAAAUCCUAUUUCGGCCAUCAUUUCAAUUAGAAUAGUCUUUGAAAACUCAAAUCGCACUAAAAAACCAAUUACCUCCACUUACAACAACAGAAUGACGUUUGACAGGCGACAGGCGGCGACGACGUUUUAGUAUUUGCUUACUUUCUACGUCACAACCGCAGUAACCAAUAGAAACAUGUUUUCUGUCACGUGGUAUUAUUCAAAUUAUCAUCAUUUUAUAUUUGCGAUUUGUAACGAUUAAUACAGUGUGUCUACUUAAGCUGGAACCAUAUGAAAAACUUUUUUAUUAGUGGUUUUAUGAAAAAAAGUUGAAAUGCAGCCAUCAGAUAUCAAUUUUUUAAAGCAGUAUACGAGGUUUGUCACAAAAUUUGAUUCAGUAAAGUUUUUUUGAAUCAAACUUAUAUCCAAAUAUGCAAUUACAGCCAUUUAUUAUGAAAAUUCAGAUUUUGUGAUUAUUUAAUUAUUCUGGUUCGAUACAAUUUAUCUUUAUCACCUGUUAAAAAUAUGAUUAACCUUUCUAUUUAUUACUGUUUUUGAAUAACCUUACAUUUUACGUAAUGAAUGGUUCUCGCAGAUAAACCUGCUGUUUUAAGUAACCCCAUAAAAAAAGUCAAGGGGAAUCAACUCAGUAGUCCUACGAGGCCAACAAAUAUCUGAAUACCUCCGAAGCAACUUCCCAUUAAACAUAUUUUCAAGGAGUACUCUAACGUUUAAUGUACUAUGGAUGGAAGCACCGUCUUGUUGGAACCAAAUUGUCUCAAACACCACAUUUUUCUGAUUUGUAAAAAAUAAAAA
Long non-coding RNA from Diorhabda sublineata, 1810 nucleotides. RefSeq lists it as uncharacterized. Lineage: Eukaryota; Metazoa; Arthropoda; Insecta; Coleoptera; Chrysomelidae. The transcript is spliced from 2 exons. The record is from RefSeq and is a predicted model, not a curated record.